GUUAUGGUUAGUGUUUGUGACUUUAGCUCUUGAUAGAUAUACCACAUUAACACAUAUUGUUCCCUUGCUUGUUUAGAGCCUUCUUAUUGCAUCAUGCUUAUCCAUGAUAUGUUAUCUAUCUAAUCUGUAGUUUUGCAAUAUAAUGUCUUUUGAUAUUUUUGUAUCUUCCCUAAAGUUUGCACCUUUUUAGAGAAAUGAGGCUGAUGUGCCCAUGGAUCGACGACCAAGCCUCUCAAAAAGGUUGCAGGCAAGAGGACUCGCCAAUUCCCGAAGGAAACUACUAGAAAGCUUUCCAUAGGUGGAUACGAUGAAGAGGAUGGUGCUGAUGCCUACACAGAUGGUCCUGAUAUACCUUGAUCCGAUGAAGAUGCCAUCUAGACAAAAGAUAAAGGAUCUUUUGCUUUUGUGCUCCUAGAAAUUAUGCAGUUGAUACUUUUUUUAUCAACUUCUACCUUCCAUCCUGGUUGAUGAAACUUUGUGUUUUUGCGUCUGUUAAAACAUUGUAGAGGACAUGUUGGUCUACUUCUACCUUAUCCUCUGUAGUUAUGCUUGUCUUGUGUACCUGGAGCAUCUUGUUGACCCCCUUGACUUUGGGCCUUCAGUGAUAGUAUCAGGACCCUAACAUAUCGACCGAUUUUUUUUGCAUUUUAAACCCUUGUAUAAAAAAUCACGUAUAGACCUCUAACAAUAUUCUCGUUUUUUGGA
Molecule: long non-coding RNA, 705 nt
Organism: Zea mays
Lineage: Eukaryota; Viridiplantae; Streptophyta; Magnoliopsida; Poales; Poaceae
Exons: 3
Source: RefSeq, a predicted model, not a curated record